RNAcentral lists this ribosomal RNA (396 nucleotides) under uncultured bacterium. RNAcentral's name for it is "partial 16S ribosomal RNA". It matches the Rfam family "Bacterial small subunit ribosomal RNA", at positions 523 to 918 of the family's 1533-position model. The record is from RNAcentral.
AUACGUAGGCGACAAGCGUUAUCCGGAUUUACUGGGCGUAAAGGGCGUGUAGGCGGUCUUGCAAGUCAGAAGUGAAAUUCAUGAGCUCAACUCGGGCGCUGCUUCUGAAACUGCAGGACUAGAGUGCUGGAGGGGAUAGCGGAAUUCCUAGUGGAGCGGUAAAAUGCGCAGAUAUUAGGAAGAACACCGGUGGCGAAGGCGGCUAUCUGGACAGUAACUGACGCUGAGGCGCGAAAGCGUGGGGAGCAAACAGGAUUAGAUACCCUGGUAGUCCACGCUGUAAACGAUGAUUACUAGGUGUUGGGGACCAAAGGUCCUCGGUGCCGCCGCAAACGCAUUAAGUAAUCCACCUGGGGAGUACGUUCGCAAGAAUGAAACUCAAAUGAAUUGACGGGG